AUUGAACGCUGGCGGCAGGCCUAACACAUGCAAGUCGAGCGAGCGGCGGACGGGUGAGUAAUGUAUGGGGAACUGCCUGAUGGCGGGGGAUAACUACUGGAAACGGUAGCUAAUACCGCAUACCAUCAGAUGUACCCAUAUGGGAUUAGCUAGUAGGUAGGGUAACGGCUCACCUAGGCGACGAUCCCUAGCUGGUCUGAGAGGAUGAACAGCCACACUGGGACUGAGACACGGCCCAGACUCCUACGGGAGGCAGCAGUGGGGAAUAUUGCACAAUGGGCGCAAGCCUGAUGCAGCCAUGCCGCGUGUAUGAAGAAGGCCUUCGGGUUGUAAAGUACUUUCAGUGGGGAGGCGUUACCCGCAGAAGAAGCACCGGCUAACUCCGUGCCAGCAGCCGCGGUAAUAC
This 406-nucleotide ribosomal RNA is filed under the name uncultured bacterium. RNAcentral describes it as "partial 16S ribosomal RNA". It matches the Rfam family "Bacterial small subunit ribosomal RNA", at positions 30 to 526 of the family's 1533-position model. The record is from RNAcentral.